AAUUAGUUUUUUAAUUGAAAAAUGGAAUGAAGGAUUUCAUUAAAUUAAGUCUUAUUUAUUUUAUAUAUUUAAACUUUUGUAUUUAGUUAAAAUACUAAAAUAGUUUUAUUAGACAAAAAGACCCUAUGAAGCUGUAAAUUAAGAAAUAAUUAGUAUUUUUAAGAUAUUUAUUUUUUGGGGUAAAGUAUAAUAUUUUUAUUCAGAUAAAUGUCUUAUUAAUUUAAUCCUCUUGGAAUUGUGAUGAAGCUCCUCUAGGGAUAACAGCAUAAUAUUUAUAAAAGUUCAUAUUUAACUAAAUGU
RNAcentral lists this ribosomal RNA (300 nucleotides) under Gaetanus brevispinus. RNAcentral's name for it is "partial 16S rRNA". The record is from RNAcentral. Lineage: Eukaryota; Metazoa; Arthropoda; Copepoda; Calanoida; Aetideidae.